This 192-nucleotide non-coding RNA is filed under the name Bacillota bacterium. RNAcentral's name for it is "6S RNA". It matches the Rfam family "6S / SsrS RNA". From Rfam's summary of the family: E. coli 6S RNA was the first non coding RNA to be sequenced, but its function was unknown until recently. It consists of 184 nucleotides that fold into an extended hairpin structure with a large single-stranded internal bulge. Lineage: Bacteria; Bacillati; Bacillota. The record is from RNAcentral.
CAAACCCUGCUUGGUGCGUAAUCAGGCUUUUUUUUAACCCACGUUUAAUAUAAGGGAUCGCGUCCUUUUACCGCGGUUUGCAGGCCUCCCGGUUAAUCCGGAUGUUGGAAGCAAUAAAACGGUGAAGACGGAACCCACCUGCCGGUUGUGCAGGUUAUUAAAUUAGUUUGAUACGGCCGAAGCGGGGCUUUU